Molecule: ribosomal RNA, 240 nt
Filed under: Sabatieria pulchra
Lineage: Eukaryota; Metazoa; Nematoda; Chromadorea; Araeolaimida; Comesomatidae
Description: partial small subunit ribosomal RNA
Rfam family: Eukaryotic small subunit ribosomal RNA
Source: RNAcentral
AGAGCUAAUACACGCACUAAAGCUCUGACCUACGGGACGAGCGCAUUUAUUAGAACCGGGUUUCGGCCCGUGCGUUGGUGACUCUGAAUAACUCUGCCGAUCGCAGCACCGGCGACGUAUCUUUCAAGUGUCUGCCUUAUCAACUUUCGAUGGUAGUUUAUGUGCCUACCAUGGUUGUAACGGGUAACGGAGAAUAAGGGUUCGACUCCGGAGAGGGAGCCUGAGAAACGGCUACCACAU